Molecule: non-coding RNA, 25 nt
Filed under: Mus musculus (house mouse)
Lineage: Eukaryota; Metazoa; Chordata; Mammalia; Rodentia; Muridae
Source: RNAcentral
UCAGAAGUAAAGCGGAGAGAGAGAG